This 327-nucleotide ribosomal RNA is filed under the name Salmonella enterica subsp. enterica serovar Monschaui. RNAcentral's name for it is "partial 23S ribosomal RNA". It matches the Rfam family "Bacterial large subunit ribosomal RNA", at positions 1 to 372 of the family's 2925-position model. The record is from RNAcentral. Lineage: Bacteria; Pseudomonadati; Pseudomonadota; Gammaproteobacteria; Enterobacterales; Enterobacteriaceae.
GACUAAGCGUACACGGUGGAUGCCCUGGCAGUCAGAGGCGAUGAAGGGCGUGCUAAUCUGCGAUAAGCGCCGGUAAGGUGAUAUGAACCGUUAUAACCGGCGAUACCCGAAUGGGGAAACCCAGUGUGAUUCGUCACACUAUCAUUAACUGAAUCCAUAGGUUAAUGAGGCGAACCGGGGGAACUGAAACAUCUAAGUACCCCGAGGAAAAGAAAUCAACCGAGAUUCCCCCAGUAGCGGCGAGCGAACGGGGAGGAGCCCAGAGCCUGAAUCAGCAUGUGUGUUAGUGGAAGCGUCUGGAAAGGCGCGCGAUACAGGGUGACAGCC